RNAcentral lists this ribosomal RNA (292 nucleotides) under uncultured bacterium. RNAcentral's name for it is "partial 16S ribosomal RNA". It matches the Rfam family "Bacterial small subunit ribosomal RNA", at positions 505 to 796 of the family's 1533-position model. The record is from RNAcentral.
GUGCCAGCAGCCGCGGUAAUACAGAGGGGGCAAGCGUUAUUCGGAAUUAUUGGGCGUAAAGGGCGCGUAGGCGGCUUCGCAAGUGGAUGGUGAAAUCCCUCGGCUCAACCGAGGAACUGCCGUCCAAACUGCGUGGCUUGAGUCCGGGAGAGGUGAGUGGAAUUCCCAGUGUAGCGGUGAAAUGCGUAGAUAUUGGGAGGAACACCAGUGGCGAAGGCGGCUCACUGGACCGGAACUGACGCUGAGGCGCGAAAGCGUGGGGAGCAAACGGGAUUAGAAACCCCUGUAGUCC